RNAcentral lists this ribosomal RNA (484 nucleotides) under uncultured bacterium. Its description in RNAcentral is "partial 16S ribosomal RNA". It matches the Rfam family "Bacterial small subunit ribosomal RNA", at positions 30 to 507 of the family's 1533-position model. The record is from RNAcentral.
AUUGAACGCUGGCGGCAGGCCUAACACAUGCAAGUCGAGCGGAUGAAGGCAGCUUGCUCCUGGAUUUAGCGGCGGACGGGUGAGUAAUGCCUAGGAAUCUGCCUCGUAGUGGGGGAUAAUGUCUGGAAACGGGCGCUAAUACUGCAUACGUCCUGCGGGAGCAAGUGGGGGAUCUUUGGACAUCACGCUAUCAGAUGAGCCUAGGUCGGAGUGGCUAGUUGGUGGGGUAAAGGCCUACCAAGCCGACGAUCCGUAACUGGUCUGACAGGAUGAUCAGUCACACGGGAACGUGGACACGGACCAUGCGACUGCGAUAGGCAGCAGACGGGAAUAGUAGACAGUAGUCGGGAACCUUGUCCAGUCGGGGCGCGUGUGUUAAGGAAAUCCUCGGAUUGGAAAGCACUUUUAGGUGGGGGAAAGGGCAGUAAGUUAAUACCUUGCGUGAGUGACGGUACUAGCAGAAGAAGCACCGGCUAACUACGUG